GGGGGGGGGUGGGGGGGGGCGGGGGGGGGGCGGGGCGGGCGGGGGGGCCCCUUUGGGGGUGCUCGAGUGGCGCACGGGUGAGUAGCACGUGAGGAACCUGCCCUUGGCUUCGGGAUAACUUCCGGAAACUGGGGCGGAUACCGGAUCGGACUCCUUGCUGCCUGGUGGGGGUUGGAACGCUCCGGCGGUUGUGGAUUGACUCGCGGCUUAUCAGCUUGUUGGUGGGGUAGUGGCUUACCAAGGCCUUGACGGGUAGCCGGCCUGAGAGGGCGACCUGCCACAUUGGGACUGAGAGACGGCCCAGACGCCUACGGGAGGCAGCAGGGGGGAAUAGUGCACAAUGGGCGGAAGCCUGAUGCAGCAACGCCGCGGGCGGGAUGACGGCCUUCGGGUUGUAAACCGCUUUCAGCAGGGGCGAAGCUUGUGGUGACGGUACCUGCAGAAGAAGCACCGGCUAACUACGUG
RNAcentral lists this ribosomal RNA (465 nucleotides) under uncultured bacterium. Its description in RNAcentral is "partial 16S ribosomal RNA". It matches the Rfam family "Bacterial small subunit ribosomal RNA", at positions 38 to 507 of the family's 1533-position model. The record is from RNAcentral.